Cebus imitator (Panamanian white-faced capuchin) is the source of this 686-nucleotide long non-coding RNA. RefSeq lists it as uncharacterized. The record is from RefSeq and is a predicted model, not a curated record. Lineage: Eukaryota; Metazoa; Chordata; Mammalia; Primates; Cebidae. The transcript is spliced from 2 exons.
UACGGCCUGACUGCGCAGGCGUGCUCACCUGGCUCGCUCCACGCGGCGGGGCGUCCGCAGGCUCCUCCCUUGGGCGUGGCCUCCGGGCUGCUGGGCUGCUUCCCAGGUGAAGCCGGCUCCUGCUUGGGGGGUCAAGUUGAUCGUUCCGCAUCCGCCAGGGCCGACGCAAAGCCGGUCUGGGGAAGCCGCGGCGGGGCUGGCGUCCGGACCUUGAGGUGAACUUGAGGGCGCCUCCUCAGCUAUCUCCCGCCCUGCUCUGAGGGGCACCGAGACCCCGAAGAGAAGAGCGGAAGAAGAGCGCCACCCCGACUGCCACUGCUUCGGGGCCAGCACGCGGGGUCCCCUGCAGGAAGCUGGGACGGCUCCAGCCCUCCUGGGCCCUCCCUUCGGGACUGAGACUGUCCCGUCUAGAGGGCUUGAGGACCCGCGCGACCGUCUGGGUCCCCUGUCAGGAAUCCCCUGUGAAGCCUCCUAGCCGCCGUUUCUGAGAAGUUCCUCAUACCUGUUAUACCUGUGCUUUCAUGCCUUUGCAUAAGUGAGAUUCCUUAUCACUGAAGGCUGCUCACCCCAGAAGACUUCACUCCAAAAAUCACUCCUGCCUGGUAUGCUGUCUGCUUAUUCAUCCCUCAGGUUUCAGCUUCAAGGCGGCUUUCUCAAAGAGGCUUUUCCUGAAGCCCCAAAUGUAA